RNAcentral lists this long non-coding RNA (358 nucleotides) under Homo sapiens (human). Its description in RNAcentral is "HSALNT0344812". Lineage: Eukaryota; Metazoa; Chordata; Mammalia; Primates; Hominidae. The record is from RNAcentral.
UAAACACAAAAGUCUUGUUAGAAGACAUUUAUUUGGGAUGAGGAAAGGAAACUGAGGACAGGGUACAGGAGUAAUAGCAAUUCCCUGUAGCUCUCAAAGCAAAUUUUGAGCUCAUUUUUCUUUUUCUGCAAGCUCAGCAGCAGAAUGCCCAGACAAUUCCCUGUAGCUCUCAAAGCAAAUUUUGAGCUCAUUUUUCUUUUUCUGCAAGCUCAGCAGCAGAAUGCCCAGAGUCUUCCCUGGUAGAUGCAGGUUCCAUAGCGACGUUCUCCUGCAAUGCACGCUGGUAUUCUGCAAUAGCAGUCCAUGUUUUUCCUUGAGCCUGGGACAGGGAGAGCAUGAGAAAUUGAGUAUGGAGUUA